GAGAAAUUAUUAGGUUUAAAACAAGCUCAGGUUUAGAUGGUGCAAGGGUUGGUGGAGAACACUACGGCAUUGCCUGGGGUGAAAGAGAUGCGGAGGGAAAUGAAAAAUAUUUCCACAAAGUUGGCGAGAUUUCAAAAAGCGCUGGCAUCAGCUCUAGCUCUGCAAGGGAGGGCUGUUUCAACGGAACAAUAAGACCUACAACUGUCACUUGGCGUGUGGAUAAUUACCAAGAUAUAAUAGGACAUGUGCCGACACCAGAUGACAUCCGCAUACGAUUUCGAGAAUGCAGUGGCUAUGCUCAUACAGCCGAGAACACACCCUGUUGUGGAAAAUUCAGCAUGCUUGACAACAACUGUGAACACACAGCCACCUAUAUCCGCUAUGGGCAGCAGGGAAGAAUCUCUUGCCAAGCCGCAGCCAUCAAGCACCCACUCACCGCCUUGCCUGCACAGUGCGCAAACCGGAG
Molecule: long non-coding RNA, 466 nt
Organism: Engraulis encrasicolus (European anchovy)
Lineage: Eukaryota; Metazoa; Chordata; Actinopteri; Clupeiformes; Engraulidae
Exons: 3
Source: RefSeq, a predicted model, not a curated record